GAUGAACGCUAGCGAUAGGCUUAACACAUGCCAGUCGAGGGGCAGCACAAGGUAGCUUGCUAUCUGGGUGGCGACCGGCGCACGGGUGCGUAACGCGUAUGCAACUUGCCCUAUACAGGAGGAUAACCCGUCGAAAGACGGACUAAUACUGCGUAUGCUCACAACUUGGCAUCAAGUGGUGAGGAAAGAAAUUCGGUAUAGGAUAGGCAUGCGUCCCAUUAGCUUGUUGGUGAGGUAACGGCUCACCAAGGCAACGAUGGGUAGGGGAACUGAGAGGUUUAUCCCCCACACUGGUACUGAGACACGGACCAGACUCCUACGGGAGGCAGCAGUGAGGAAUAUUGGUCAAUGGGCGCGAGCCUGAACCAGCCAAGUCGCGUGAAGGAUGACUGUCCUAUGGAUUGUAAACUUCUUUUAUACGGGAAUAACAAGAGUCACGUGUGACUCCCUGCAUGUACCGUAUGAAUAAGCAUCGGCUAACUCCGUG
This 487-nucleotide ribosomal RNA is filed under the name uncultured bacterium. RNAcentral's name for it is "partial 16S ribosomal RNA". It matches the Rfam family "Bacterial small subunit ribosomal RNA", at positions 28 to 507 of the family's 1533-position model. The record is from RNAcentral.